GUUGUCGUGGUCAAGUGGUUAAGGCGAUAUACUAGACAUCUUUUGGGAUCUUCUCGCACAGGUUCGAAUCCUGCCGGCAUCG
This 82-nucleotide transfer RNA is filed under the name Dreissena polymorpha. RNAcentral's name for it is "tRNA-Ser". It matches the Rfam family "tRNA". From Rfam's summary of the family: Transfer RNA (tRNA) molecules are approximately 80 nucleotides in length. Their secondary structure includes four short double-helical elements and three loops (D, anti-codon, and T loops). The record is from RNAcentral. Lineage: Eukaryota; Metazoa; Mollusca; Bivalvia; Myida; Dreissenidae.